This 490-nucleotide ribosomal RNA is filed under the name uncultured bacterium. RNAcentral's name for it is "partial 16S ribosomal RNA". It matches the Rfam family "Bacterial small subunit ribosomal RNA", at positions 30 to 507 of the family's 1533-position model. The record is from RNAcentral.
AUUGAACGCUGGCGGCAGGCCUAACACAUGCAAGUCGAACGGUAACAGGAAGAAGCUUGCUUCUUUGCUGACGAGUGGCGGACGGGUGAGUAAUGUCUGGGAAACUGCCUGAUGGAGGGGGAUAACUACUGGAAACGGUAGCUAAUACCGCGUAACGUCGCAAGACCAAAGAGGGGGACCUUCGGGCCUCUUGCCAUCGGAUGUGCCCAGAUGGGAUUAGCUUGUUGGUGGGGUAACGGCUCACCAAGGCGACGAUCCCUAGCUGGUCUGAGAGGAUGACCAGCCACACUGGAACUGAGACACGGUCCAGACUCCUACGGGAGGCAGCAGUGGGGAAUAUUGCACAAUGGGCGCAAGCCUGAUGCAGCCAUGCCGCGUGUAUGAAGAAGGCCUUCGGGUUGUAAAGUACUUUCAGCGGGGAGGAAGGGAGUAAAGUUAAUACCUUUGCUCAUUGACGUUACCCGCAGAAGAAGCACCGGCUAACUCCGUG